Molecule: transfer RNA, 67 nt
Filed under: Marmota monax (woodchuck)
Lineage: Eukaryota; Metazoa; Chordata; Mammalia; Rodentia; Sciuridae
Description: tRNA.Ala
Source: RNAcentral
GGUUGUGGCUCAGCGGUAGAGCACUCGCCUAGCAUGUGCGAGGCCCUGGGUUCUAUCCUCAGCACCA